Long non-coding RNA from Prosopis cineraria, 1052 nucleotides. RefSeq lists it as uncharacterized. NCBI's taxonomy places the organism in Eukaryota, Viridiplantae, Streptophyta, Magnoliopsida, Fabales, Fabaceae. The transcript has 4 exons. The record is from RefSeq and is a predicted model, not a curated record.
GAGAGAGAGAGCGAUCUCGUCCAGAAGCUUCACCCGUCGACUUCCAAUCUCUAGUCUCGCCGUCGUUCGUUCUCGUCACUGUCGCCGGAAAGAAGAUUAUUUACGACUUUAAAAACCACGUACGAUGCCGAAGAGGAACCAAUCAUCUUCUUUGCUAAUUGAUCAAAGCAUGAAGUCUAAGAAGCAAAAAGUUGAAGAUAGUAGUCUGACAAAUCACAUUAAUGGAGGAUUAUGUGAAAACAAUGUUAAUGAUUUUUGGCAAAUAGUUCCAAGUGGAUUCACAUUUUGCCCUAUAGAUCAAGAGCUGAUCAUGGCCUAUUUGAGGGAGAAAGUGAUGAAUGAGCCAUUCGAACCAAUAAUUAUUGAAGUUGAAGUCUUUAAGUUCAAUUCUAAAGAAUUAUCCAGACAAUAUAGGAGCUGGGGGUCUAGAGAAAAUGUGUGGUACUUUUUCUCACCAAUAUGUCAAAAUGGAUCAAUACAAGAUGGCUAUUGGAAGCCGACAGAAAAAAUGUCGGUCCAUUCAUUUUGAUGAUGAAAGAACAUUAAUUGGAAAAGGUAGAACUUUGAUUUAUUAUAAAGGAAUCAUCAAAAGAGCAAGAAGACUUUUGGAUCAUGCAUGAGUAUUAUUUGGAUCUGACAACACAUGCAAGAGCGAGUUCCUUAGAUACAAAGAUCAAUCACAGCCUCAAAGAAACAAUAUGGAUCCGAUUCAAUUCAACAAUCCUCAUUCAUCAGAAAUCUCUCAAGCUUCUGCUAGUCCUUCAUCUUUCAAUGAAAUCAACAAUGGAACGUCAAGUUCAGAUGAUGCUUGAAUGUACAUAGAUCCUUCACAAUUUGGACACAGAAAACGGUGAUUUUAUGAUCAUCCCAAGCAUGCUUCCAGAAUUAAUGGAGCCUGAUAUCGAUAUUGGAGGAACCAGGCCAUCUCAUCAUCUUCUAUAACGCGAAGGACGUGAUUAAUUUUCAAUUUGUAGUAUGAAUACUGAAAAAAUCUGAUAUGUUUCGUUGUUAAGAAUAUUAGUCAUAAAAUAUCUUAAACUUCUUUAGCAUGU